GCCGGUGUAGCUCAGCUGGUUAGAGCAGGGGAAUCAUAAUCCCAAGGUCGUUGGUUCAAAUCCGACCUCCGGCA
This 74-nucleotide transfer RNA is filed under the name Deltaproteobacteria bacterium. Its description in RNAcentral is "tRNA-Met". It matches the Rfam family "tRNA". From Rfam's summary of the family: Transfer RNA (tRNA) molecules are approximately 80 nucleotides in length. Their secondary structure includes four short double-helical elements and three loops (D, anti-codon, and T loops). Lineage: Bacteria; Pseudomonadati; Myxococcota; Myxococcia. The record is from RNAcentral.